GACCUCGCCCUCGGAGAAGGUCAGCUCGUCUGGGUUGUCGGCAGCACAGUUGUAGAUGGCUUUCACUCGCUUCGGCCUCUGCUUCUGCGAGACGGAACCAAAGCACACAGACAGGAGAUUUAGGUGGCACUGCUCUGGACCCCAGUGGUCCCUGGCUCGACUUGGACUGCAUGCUCAUGGACUCCAUCUUGGCCACAGGAGGACCCAGACCUGGCACACAGUAACACACCUUAUGACCUUCUGUCAUAGUGAACACUUCACUGGACAUUUGGUUUUAGUGAUGCAUAUAUCUUGCAUGCUAAAUGAUUAAUCCCAAUAAAGAGAUGAAUGGUU
Molecule: long non-coding RNA, 333 nt
Organism: Cyclopterus lumpus (lumpfish)
Lineage: Eukaryota; Metazoa; Chordata; Actinopteri; Perciformes; Cyclopteridae
Exons: 2
Source: RefSeq, a predicted model, not a curated record